RNAcentral lists this non-coding RNA (32 nucleotides) under Rattus norvegicus (Norway rat). Lineage: Eukaryota; Metazoa; Chordata; Mammalia; Rodentia; Muridae. The record is from RNAcentral.
UUUUUUGUUGGUUUAAAGCAUCCUUUAAUUAC